AUAUAUAUAUAUAUAUAUAUAUGUAUGUAUAUAUAUGUAUAUGUAUAUGUAUGUAUAAAAUAUCAAUGUGCAUACUUAGAUCUUGUUUGCUGACUUAAAUACGUUGAACUAUAAUAUGACAAUUGUUGGAAAAUGCGCUUAAAAUUUUAUGUAGAAAUUCACAAGUCGCCUUCAAAGAUUAAGAAAUAUAAUUUAUAUGAUAUAGAGAUAGAUAUAUUUUAUGAGAAACAAGAGAUAUAUAUUAUAUAUGUCGAUAUAUUCGAUGAAAAUAUGUGAUAUGUGUAUAAAAAUAAUGACCGAUUUUUUUUAGAACUCCAAAAUCGUUGUUUAAAUUAAAUCGACGGACGUAAUGACUAAAAAUCUUUCUACUUACUACACACAUCGGAAUUUUAUAUAUUAAUAUUUACGAUCUUCAUAUUUUGACAAUUGUUCCAUUCGAAAAAAUUACAUUACGCUGCGUGAAACGGUUUGUAGACAUUUGUUUAUUUUAUGGCUUUUUAAUACAUUCAAGUGUUUAACACAUUCAGCUUAGUACUAAUGAGCAUUGAACGUCAACAUGACGAAUUUGUUAAGUACCCUGGUGAAAACUUUUCUUAAUUUUGUAUAUAAUUUUUUAAAGAAUUUCUGCUUAAUUUUAUAACCCAGAAAAUUUUGAGAUUUUUUAUACAAAUUAGAAUAUUCUUCAGAAAUAAUAAGAAAGUCUACAUCUAUUUUUGAAUUCUUUAUAUAUGUAAAUUCUCAAAAAUUUAUAAAACUUGUCAUUGUCUAAAAUUUCCCCCAAAAACUUAUAAAAUUUGAACAAAAAUUUAAGCUAUUUUUUUGGAAGUGAUAAGUUUAAAAUAUGAAAAAUUCUUACAAAAAGUAUUACAAGAGAAUUUUUUCACUAGGGUAAUUUAUAUAUUCUAUUUUUUAGCGUUGUUACGUCGAUCGAAAUUAAAUUCAAUAACAUCAUGUUAAAUCUUAUUCACAGGAAUUAUAAUAUCAAUAUUUAACUGCAAUUUAUACAGUCUUUCCACUGUUACAAAGUAUUUCUCUGAAUUAUCUGUCGAUACACACAAAUAAAGAAAUAGAAAGUUACUGUUAUUCGGUAGAUAUAUCCUCAUAUCAUUUAACUGAAUAAUAAAUGUUAUAUAAUUACAUAAAUACAUGUAAAUAUUAUGCAAAAAAUUGCAAUGAUUACAAAAUCACCGUCCUAAUCCCGUCUUCUCUUCUUAAAAACUCUGUAUGUAAUAUAUGUAUAAUAGUAAAUAUGAUAGUAUUAUAUAAAGUGGACACGACAAAUAAACAGCAAUAAAAUGUUUCGAAAAAACUAAUUUCUAUUUCUCUAAAUACGUUUACAAUUAUUGUUUUAAAGAAAGAAAAAUAUUUUGUCGCAUAAAUUUAUAUAUCUUAAAGCGUUUUGUAAUAACCACUUGAUUGUAAUGCCAGCUGGCAAAUGGAUUACUUAGUAGUUUUAUGUUAAUAAUUAUGACGACGAAGAAAUCGUCCUCGCUUGAAACUCACUCUGAAUCGCGAUGAUAUGAAAUCCAAGACUGGUGUAUACAGUAGAAUCCACUGAUUAAUGCCCGAUUUCUUCACGUCCAGUUAUCUUGCGGUUAAAAUUAUCCAGGAGAUAAACUUUCAGAUCCAUGCACGUGAUUGGUUAAACUUGAUAUUUAUCCUCCGGAUAACUUUAUCAGGAAGUGAAGCCAUGAAAUAUCACGUUAACCUCGAAAUCACACGGUGUUCUCUUAUCUUACAAAUGUUACAAAUAAUGUAAAUAAACGAGACAUAAAUAUUAACAUAAAACUACUGUAAUCCGUUUGCCAGCUGAUAUUACAAUCAAGUGGUGAUUACAAAAUGCUUGAAGAUAUUUGAUGUAUUAAUUAAAGUAUUUGCAGUAUUUACACACUUAUCUAGUCAAAUCUAAAUAAUGAGAUAAGGAUGUGGGCAAGUUCUACUUACAGUUUGAUCAAUUCUACAUAGAAAAAAAAGAGUUUAUUGUGCCUCAGUGAUAAUGUUAGAAGGAAGAUAGGACCAGCUGCUGAACGCUUUUAUUCACUUCUCUCUUAGCAGCAUGCCCACUUUAGUGUUGCGGCACGAUUCACUUUUGAAAUCUAGAGAACUUAUUAGAAGUUGUUGGAAAAUAUAAAGUUUUUAUUUGAAAUGCACACAGGGAAAGAAAAUAUAUUUUCAAUCAUGUAUAUUCCAUGUUUUAACGGUAUUCCUUAAAAAUUUAUUGCAAUUAUUAAUUAUAGCUAGAGUAAAUCAAUGAGAAAUUUGACAUUUCCAUGUUAAAAGAAAACUAAUAAAAUAUUGAGACUUUAUCUACCCAUGCUAGGAUUGUCGUGAUACAAAGAUGUUGACUGUUGCAAUAAAACGUGACUUGCUGUUCGAAACAUUGGGUAAAACAUAUUGGAAUAAAACUUAUUUACUUGAGUUAUUGCUAAGAUGGGAUUUGAUAUAUACAUAAAUUAACCAAAUAUAUUUUAUACCUUAACACUUAAGAACUUGCACAAACACUUGCUAUCGACUGAAAAAGAUUUUUUUCUCAGCUCAUUUUACAUAUUAGACAAACAUCAUGCUCUGACUGAAUGUCAAUGAAGCGAAUUGAGAAGGAGUGUGUUUGUUUGAAGACAAUGAAAAAGCAAAUGAUAGCAAGAGUAGUUUUGACCAAGGUAUAGAUGCAUCCGAAGAAAUUAUCUACAAGAUUGACACGCCUGCCAACAGAUAUUAUCUGUUGUGCUUGGAGCCUAAGUACUGGACUACUUAUAUUUUUGAACAAAACAUACAAAAGAACUGCAAUUGGUAAUAAAAAGCAACACACAUAAUGCAAAUUACACAAGAACUGCAUAAAGGAUAUGUGCCAGGACUCUUUAAAUUUCACUUUUUAAAUGUUCCUUCACCUAUGGCUGAAUGCCUAUAUAUAAAGUCUUUUUUUCUAAACAUGAUGUUCAUUCCACAUUAUAUGGCAAUAAAACCAAAGGAAUGGAAAAGAUUAUAAUGACUUCAGAAUGCUUAAAAAUAAGAGGACAUUUGGUUGUUUCAAUUUUGAGAGACGUUACUUUGACGCAAGAUUCUUACAAUAAUUUUAUUGAUCUUCAAGAUAAGUUGCAUCAAAAUAUAGGAAGAAGACAGUCUGGUCUCUAUUGGCACUUAUGAUUUGGAUACAAUUAAAGGUCCAUUUCUAUAUGGUGCUAGACACCAUCAAAAAUACAGUUCAAACCACUCAAUCGAGAUAAGCAGUUUUCACUAAACAAGUUGACUGACUUGAUUCGAAUAGAAAGGGCCCAGACAGGAUUCACUGAGGCAUUGACUUUCUCUUUGUGCUCACGUGAGAAUGUAGCGGACAAAUUGGGAUACGAAAUAGAAGAUGUACCGGCAGUUCACAUAUCCAAUCCAAAAACUUUGGAGUUUCAAAUAAAUCGACCGAUACCGCGCGGUUUUAUUAAAACCUCGGAAACAAGUAGUUCUAUUCUUGAUUUCUCUUUUUUAUUUGAAACAAUACAUGUGUGUAAUAGAACGUAAACAGAUAUCGUUAUGCGUUUAAAUAAAAAAAAAUUGACAAAGAA
Molecule: RNA transcript, 3551 nt
Organism: Monomorium pharaonis (pharaoh ant)
Lineage: Eukaryota; Metazoa; Arthropoda; Insecta; Hymenoptera; Formicidae
Exons: 6
Source: RefSeq, a predicted model, not a curated record